CAAAACCACUGUUUCUCCCAAAUCUACCAAACCCUCCAGCGCCGGCACCAAUUAUCUCAAACCCUCCAACAUUAGCAGCAUAAGAAAGCAUAUGUACACUACUUCACAUGCUGCACCAGAAGGACCCGACCUCAUCUUCCUCCAUCGAGUUUAUCCUGCUGCACCAGAGAAAUUGUUGAAGGCGUUCAUGAGCCGUUCGACGACCGGUCCCAUCUUCUCCGACAAGUCAUAUUCUCACAUCCACAUGCUUCGACAACUGUAGAGUUGAAAUUUUUGUGCUGUGGUAUUCCUGCAAUGUCAAUUACUUCAAGCAACGUUUUACCUGAGCACUUAAUUCUAUGUUGCAUCGAUACAAUUUAGACUUCAAAGGACUUGUUCUACGAUUAUGAUCGAGGUGUACUGUGUUAAUUUUUCAUAUUCCACGAAUAUCUAAAUAUGCAAUCAGACUGGCUUUACAUCCACUCAGCAUGGUAGCUUGUGGUUUCAGAAAAAACAUUUGUAUUAUGGAUUUUUUUCCCUUCACGGCUAUGAACAAAAUGUAACAUAUCGCAAAA
Molecule: long non-coding RNA, 554 nt
Organism: Olea europaea var. sylvestris
Lineage: Eukaryota; Viridiplantae; Streptophyta; Magnoliopsida; Lamiales; Oleaceae
Exons: 2
Source: RefSeq, a predicted model, not a curated record